UUCCGGUUGAUCCUGCCRGCGGCCACCGCUAUUGGGUUUCGCUUAAGCCAUGCGAGUCGAGAGGGUUCGGCCCUCGGCAGACUGCUCAGUAACACGUGGAGAACUUGCCCUAGGCUGGAGGAUAAUCUCGGGAAACUGAGGAUAAUACUCCGUAGUCCAUCCGUCCUGGAACGGUGGGUGGACAAUAGCUCCGGCGGCCUAGGAUAGCUCUGCGGCCUAUCAGGUUGUAGCGAGGGUAACGUCCUCGCUAGCCUACGACGGGUAUGGGUGUUGGGAGACAUCGCCCAGAGAUGGAUUCUGAGACACGAAUCCAGGCCCUACGGGGCGCAGCAGGCGCGAAAACUGCACAAUGUGGGAAACCACGAUGCGGGAAACCCAAGUGCCAGCACUAUGUGUUGGCUGUCCUCCAGUGUUCGUAACUGGGGAAGAAAGUGCUGGGUAAGACGGGUGCCAGCCGCCGCGGUAAUACCCGCAGCACAAGUGGUGGUCAUUAUUAUUGGGCCUAAAGCGUCCGUAGCAGGCUUGUUAGAUGCCUGGGUAAAUCGAUGCGCUCAACGCAUCGACUUCCGGGUAGACCGGCAAGCUCGAGACCGGGAGAGGUGUAGGCUACUCGAGGGGUAGGGGUAAAAUCCUGUAAUCCUUCGGGGAGGACCAGUGGCGAAGGCGCUACACUAGAACGGCUCUGACUGUGAGGGACGAAGCCCUGGGGCGCAAACCGGAUUAGAUACCCGGGUAGUCCAGGGUGUAAACGCUGCAGACUUGGUGUCGGUGAUCCUACGAGGGUUGCCGGUGCCGGAGAGAAGUUGUUGAGUCUGCCGCCUGGGGAGUACGGUCGCAAGACUGAAACUUAAAGGAAUUGGCGGGGGAGCACCGCAACGCGUGGAGUGGGCGGUUUAAUUGGAKUCAACGCCGGR
RNAcentral lists this ribosomal RNA (914 nucleotides) under uncultured archaeon. Its description in RNAcentral is "bacterial SSU rRNA". It matches the Rfam family "Archaeal small subunit ribosomal RNA", at positions 1 to 922 of the family's 1478-position model. The record is from RNAcentral.